This 253-nucleotide ribosomal RNA is filed under the name uncultured bacterium. RNAcentral's name for it is "partial 16S ribosomal RNA". It matches the Rfam family "Bacterial small subunit ribosomal RNA", at positions 524 to 776 of the family's 1533-position model. The record is from RNAcentral.
UACGAAGGGGGCUAGCGUUGCUCGGAAUCACUGGGCGUAAAGCGCACGUAGGCGGAUCGUUAAGUCAGGGGUGAAAUCCUGGAGCUCAACUCCAGAACUGCCUUUGAUACUGAGGAGCUUGAGUCCGGGAGAGGUGAGUGGAACUGCGAGUGUAGAGGUGAAAUUCGUAGAUAUUCGCAAGAACACCAGUGGCGAAGGCGGCUCACUGGCCCGGUACUGACGCUGAGGUGCGAAAGCGUGGGGAGCAAACAGG